CAGCAGCCACGGUAAUACGGAGGGUGCAAGCGUUAAUCGGAAUUACUGGGCGUAAAGCGCACGCAGGCGGUCUGUCAAGUCAGAUGUGAAAUCCCCGGGCUUAACCUGGGAACUGCAUUUGAAACUGGCAGGCUAGAGUCUUGUAGAGGGGGGUAGAAUUCCAGGUGUAGCGGUGAAAUGCGUAGAGAUCUGGAGGAAUACCGGUGGCGAAGGCAGCCAUCUGGCCUAAUACUGACGCUGAGGUACGAAAGCAUGGGGAGCAAACAGGAUUAGAUACCCGCGUAGUCCCUGUCUCUUAUAC
RNAcentral lists this ribosomal RNA (301 nucleotides) under uncultured bacterium. RNAcentral describes it as "partial 16S ribosomal RNA". It matches the Rfam family "Bacterial small subunit ribosomal RNA", at positions 509 to 807 of the family's 1533-position model. The record is from RNAcentral.